UACUGUUGAGUCACAGUCUCUCAGAGACACAGAGCAUCCCACGAACAAUGAGACAAACUGUUGGGUCACUGAACCAACCACUGAACAAUUUGAGAGCAUCAGGCUUGUGCUUUCAACUUACGAACCUCGAAAGCAACUGAUGCUUCAUCCAAACUUACGAGCUCCUAUCUUUACUAUUACUCGACAGAGGUAACUAGGAAGCUAGAAGAACUACAAGCUGCUCAACCAUACCAUAAGCAAAAGGCAAACUCCAUCAAAGUAUCAAACAAAACCCAACCACUCCCUCCAUUUUCCUUCCAGCCCCUCACAGUGUGGGGGAGCCUGGGAAUCUAUUCCUAGACCUCUGAAAAGCAGGGCGGAGAAGCAACCUCUUUUGGCCCAAAAAGUCGUAGGCACAGCCGAUUGAUUGAUGGAUAGAUAGGUGCAUAUCAAACAACUAAAGUGCCAAC
RNAcentral lists this long non-coding RNA (449 nucleotides) under Setaria viridis. RNAcentral's name for it is "long non-coding RNA (SVIR_LNC011411)". The record is from RNAcentral. Lineage: Eukaryota; Viridiplantae; Streptophyta; Magnoliopsida; Poales; Poaceae.